Molecule: transfer RNA, 72 nt
Filed under: Ornithorhynchus anatinus (platypus)
Lineage: Eukaryota; Metazoa; Chordata; Mammalia; Monotremata; Ornithorhynchidae
Rfam family: tRNA
About the family: Transfer RNA (tRNA) molecules are approximately 80 nucleotides in length. Their secondary structure includes four short double-helical elements and three loops (D, anti-codon, and T loops).
Source: Rfam by way of RNAcentral
UGCAGCGUGGCUCACUGGAAAGAGCCCGGGUUUAGGAGUCCGAGGUCACAGGUUCUAAUCCCGUCUCUGCCA